RNAcentral lists this ribosomal RNA (544 nucleotides) under uncultured Aquificales bacterium. RNAcentral describes it as "bacterial SSU rRNA". It matches the Rfam family "Bacterial small subunit ribosomal RNA", at positions 18 to 537 of the family's 1533-position model. Lineage: Bacteria; Pseudomonadati; Aquificota; Aquificia; Aquificales. The record is from RNAcentral.
CCUGGCUCAGCGCGAACGCUGGCGGCGUGCCUAACACAUGCAAGUCGUGCGGAGGGGUGAUGAGCCCCUCAGCGGCAAACGGGUGAGUAACACGUGAGUAACCUGCCCCUGGGAAGGGGAUAACCCUCCGAAAGGGGGGCUAAUACCCUAUAUUGCCGGGGACCACUAAGGUCACCCGGUGAAAGGUGGCCUCUGCCCUUCAUGGGUAUGCUACCGCCCAGGGAGGGGCUCGCGGCCCAUCAGGUAGUUGGUGGGGUAACGGCCUACCAAGCCUAUGACGGGUAGCCGGCCUGAGAGGGUGGCCGGCCACAGUGGGACUGAGACACGGCCCACACCCCUACGGGGGGCAGCAGUGGGGAAUCGUGGGCAAUGGGCGAAAGCCUGACCCCGCGACGCCGCGUGGGGGAUGAAGCCCUUCGGGGUGUAAACCCCUGUCGGGGGGGACGAUGUGUCCUGGGGUGAAUAAUCCCAGGGCAUGACGGUACCCCCAGAGGAAGGGACGGCUAACUACGUGCCAGCAGCCGCGGUAAUACGUAGGUCCCGA